This 621-nucleotide ribosomal RNA is filed under the name Triticum aestivum (bread wheat). Its description in RNAcentral is "partial small subunit ribosomal RNA". The record is from RNAcentral. Lineage: Eukaryota; Viridiplantae; Streptophyta; Magnoliopsida; Poales; Poaceae.
AUGGAUCUCGAAGGGAAGAUCUGCAAGCUAGCUGCCCGUGCAGCGGCCACCUCGCCGGCGCUGGUGAGGAAGGCUGUGGGGGCACUGGAGCGCAGCAGCGCCGCGCGCGCGGCCGCCGAAGUCCUGAUCUAUCAGUUCCUGUCCGCUGUCUUCAUCUUCUCCGGCUUCUUGAACCUCGUCGCGGUCGAGGCCUGCGGCGGGAAAAACUGCACCGUCGCCUCCAUCCUGUUCGAGCUCUCGUACCAUUCUGGUAUGAUCGCCCUGCUUCUCUUGGCGCCGGCGUGCGUGCUCUUCUUCCUGCGCGCCGCGGGCAGCACCAGCGACAGCGAGGUCGAGGACGAGGAUCGCUCUGAGAUCUUCCCGUGGCCCCUGAUCUGGCCGGUGCUAGGGUUCAUCACCGUGGCGGCGUCGGCGGCACCCAUCGCCUUCGUUCUUCAGAUGUGUGGAUUUCGAGAGGCUUCUUACCAAGUCUGCGUCGCGGCUGUGUUGUGCUCGGCCCUACUCUCCGCCCUCUUCUACAUCGGUGCUGCGGUAGCGCUGUGGAGGAUGAAUCCUCAAGAGCGCAGCAUCGCCGGCAUGCUCAGGAUGAGUCUCAGGCCCAGCAACAAGGUGGCGGAGUAG